Molecule: non-coding RNA, 1805 nt
Organism: Cyanistes caeruleus (blue tit)
Lineage: Eukaryota; Metazoa; Chordata; Aves; Passeriformes; Paridae
Source: RefSeq, a predicted model, not a curated record
AAGAAAUCAAAGGGACAGAGAAUGUUCAACUCCUGAGUGCUGCACUGAGGAAGAGUGAAAUGGACAAAGGGACUCUGAAGAAAAACUUUGUAAUCCUGCAGAGAAAAUCUCCUGACAACUGCAUGGGCCAGUCUCAUCUCCAGCAGGCUGUUGGAGCACAAGAGGAGCAGCUGUUACUUGUCUCACAGAGCAGGCUGGAACCUCAGCAACCGCUUGCAUCAGCAGAUGAUGCCUGAAUGAACCACUGAGCCCAGGAGAACUUUUGAGCACGUAAAAUGGGCUUUCUGUGCCUCCACGGAGCCUCAGGCUCCUCUGGAGCACAGCACGUUUGCCCAGGCAGUGCUUUGCAGUGCCCUGCUUGUUUCCUUGCCUCUCCCUGUCCCUGCUGCAGGCACAGCCUUUUGUUUGUUCUGUCUCUUGCGGCAGCCCAUGGCUUUCUCAAAGGUGCCUUCACUGCACUGUCUCCCUCCCUGGCCCCGUGUCCCUGGACACACCCUGGCCUCUCUUGCGCAGCCCCCAGCGAGAGCUUUUUGCCCCCAGUGUUGUCUGGUGCAAUUCAGGCUCUCAGAGCAGAGAUCUUGCAUUGAUGUCCAGAGGUUCUUUUGCUCCAUGUUUGCUGACAGGUUUCUGUGACCUUUCUCCCAUCCAAUGUGCAGGUGGAACGUGAAGGAAGAAGAAUCAGAACUUUUAGGAGAGUGUUCCCCCCAGAGUCCUUUACGUUCAGUGUCUCCAAGUCCGAGCAGCAAAAUAGGUCAACUUCUGAAAGAAGCUCCAGCAGCUCAGGGGAGCAGCAGUAGCCCUCCUGCUGAUGCACAGCCUGUGGAGCAAGGGGUGUCCCUGCUGCAGUCACAGCUGGCCCGAGACCGACAGCACCACCAGCAGAACUACAUUGAGAGCUGUUCAAGGACCAGCCAGGAGCUGUCAGACCUUCACCAGGAGCUGUCCUGCUCCUUUGCAGCUGUGCUCAAGGAGCCCAAAGCUGCUCUUGUGGAAGCAGAGACUUGAAGCUGCAUCAGUCUCUGAAUCUUAACUUGGCAGGGACAUCCUUGGGCCAUCAGUCUCUGGAGAGACAGGCCCUGGAGAAGGCAGGUGCAGCUCUUGUGCACAGAGGAUUUGUGCCCUGCUCAGAAGGCAGUUCCUGUCAACUGGGGCACAGAAAUCCUCCCUAGGACACAGACAAACACUAUCAAAGAUGAGGGCAAAAAACACCUGCCAAAGCUCUUCCAAGCAGACCCAUUUGGUUCUUGAAGGUCUGUUCCUAGUGAGGAAUCUUUGAUGUAAGCAGCAGGACUUUUCUUCUGCCUAGAAGACCUAGUGAUAUAUUCGCAAACAGAGAGCAGAGCAGGAAAAACAUGCACUUGUGGCUGUCUCAGGAUUCUUAAUCCAUUUUAUGAGCUGACGCUGCUCUUGGCCGCCCCGGAGCUCUGGGCUGGCUCCACAGUGCCCAGGGUCCAAUGGGAGCUCGCGGAGGGAGGGGUAAGGGGAGGAGGUUACAAUACCAGGGACCAAUGGGGAUACAAAGAAGGCGGGAAUACAACAUAACAACCAAUAGUGUUUUGAGGAAGGGAUGACAUACAUGGAAGGAGCUGGAAGGAGAGGUGGGGUUUACAGGGAUGGAUGGGGAGCUGGGGCAGGGUAAAGGUGAUUGACGGGGAACAUUCAGAAAAACUGGGAGGGGUUUACAUAACAGACAAAUGGAACCAACCAAAGCAGUAAAUGGGAGACAACCAGGAACAUAUCAAACAGACGAAAUACUAACAAUUUUAACAGAACUGAAUAAACAUACUACAACAAUGAGCCUUAAA